This 1015-nucleotide ribosomal RNA is filed under the name Streptococcus sp. N30721VB09_1492r. Its description in RNAcentral is "partial 16S ribosomal RNA". The record is from RNAcentral. Lineage: Bacteria; Bacillati; Bacillota; Bacilli; Lactobacillales; Streptococcaceae.
ANCCACCUUAGGCGGCUNGCUCCUAAAAGGUUACCUCACCGACUUCGGGUGUUACAAACUCUCGUGGUGUGACGGGCGGUGUGUACAAGGCCCGGGAACGUAUUCACCGCGGCGUNNUGAUCCGCGAUUACUAGCGAUUCCGACUUCAUGUAGGCGAGUUGCAGCCUACAAUCCGAACUGAGAUCGGCUUUAAGAGAUUGGCUUACUGUCACCAGUUCGCUGCUCGUUGUACCGACCAUUGUAGCACGUGUGUAGCCCAGGUCAUAAGGGGCAUGAUGAUUUGACGUCAUCCCCACCUUCCUCCGGUUUAUUACCGGCAGUCUCGCUAGAGUGCCCAACUGAAUGAUGGCAACUAACAAUAGGGGUUGCGCUCGUUGCGGGACUUAACCCAACAUCUCACGACACGAGCUGACGACAACCAUGCACCACCUGUCACCGAUGUACCGAAGUAAAAUCCUAUCUCUAGGACGGGCAUCGGGAUGUCAAGACCUGGUAAGGUUCUUCGCGUUGCUUCGAAUUAAACCACAUGCUCCACCGCUUGUGCGGGCCCCCGUCAAUUCCUUUGAGUUUCAACCUUGCGGUCGUACUCCCCAGGCGGAGUGCUUAAUGCGUUAGCUGCGGCACUGAGUCCCGGAAAGGACCCAACACCUAGCACUCAUCGUUUACGGCGUGGACUACCAGGGUAUCUAAUCCUGUUCGCUACCCACGCUUUCGAGCCUCAGUGUCAGUUACAGACCAGAGAGCCGCUUUCGCCACCGGUGUUCCUCCAUAUAUCUACGCAUUUCACCGCUACACAUGGAAUUCCACUCUCCCCUUCUGCACUCAAGUUUAACAGUUUCCAAAGCGUACAUUGGUUGAGCCAAUGCCUUUAACUUCAGACUUAUUAAACCACCUGCGCUCGCUUUACGCCCAAUAAAUCCGGACAACGCUCGGGACCUACGUAUUACCGCGGCUGCUGGCACGUAGUUAGCCGUCCCUUUCUGAUAAGCUACCGUCACAGAGUAAACUUUCCACU